CCUACGGGUGGCAGCAGUGGGGAAUAUUGGGCAAUGGGCGCAAGCCUGACCCAGCAACGCCGCGUGAAGGAAGAAGGCUCUCGGGUUGUAAACUUCUUUUAUCAGGGACGAAGCAAGUGACGGUACCUGAUGAAUAAGCCACGGCUAACUACGUGCCAGCAGCCGCGGCAAUACGUAGGUGGCAAGCGUUAUCCGGAUUUACUGGGUGUAAAGGGCGUGUAGGCGGGAAAGCAAGUCAGAUGUGAAAACCAUGGGCUCAACCUGUGGACUGCAUUUGAAACUGUUUUUCUUGAGUACUGGAGAGGCAGACGGAAUUCGUGGUGUAGCGGUGAAAUGCGUAGAUAUUAGGAAGAACACCAAUGGCGAAGGCAGUCUGCUGGACAGCAACUGACGCUGAGGCGCGAAAGCGUGGGGAGCAAACAGGAUUAGAUACCCCAGUAGUC
Molecule: ribosomal RNA, 443 nt
Filed under: uncultured bacterium
Lineage: Bacteria
Description: partial 16S ribosomal RNA
Rfam family: Bacterial small subunit ribosomal RNA
Source: RNAcentral